GAUGAAGAACGUAGCGAAAUGCGAUACUUGGUGUGAAUUGCAGAAUCCCGUGAACCAUCGAGUCUUUGAACGCAAGUUGCGCCCGAAGCCAUUAGGCCGAGGGCACGCCUGCCUGGGCGUCACACGUCGUUGCCCCCCAUCUACUCCUUCGGGAUUGCGGGGGGCGGAUGAUGGCCUCCCGUGCGCCUCGUCGCGCGGUUGGCAUAAAUGCCAAGUCCUCGGCGACGCACGCCACGACAAUCGGUGGUUGCGAAACCUCGGUUGCCCGUCGUGUGCGGUCGUCGCGCAUCGAGGGCUCGAAAAAAUUGCCGGGCUCCGGCUCGGCUUUCAACGCGACCCCAGGUCAGGCGGGGUUACCCGCUGAAUUUAAGCAUAUCAAUAGCGGAGGA
RNAcentral lists this unclassified non-coding RNA (389 nucleotides) under soil metagenome. Its description in RNAcentral is "partial contains 5.8S ribosomal RNA, internal transcribed spacer 2, and large subunit ribosomal RNA". The stretch from base 1 to 122 matches the Rfam family "5.8S ribosomal RNA", at positions 35 to 154 of the family's 154-position model. The record is from RNAcentral.